MicroRNA precursor from Chrysolophus pictus (golden pheasant), 63 nucleotides. The record is from Ensembl. Lineage: Eukaryota; Metazoa; Chordata; Aves; Galliformes; Phasianidae.
UGUUAAUGCUAAUCGUGAUAGGGGUUUUUACCUCUGAAUGACUCCUACAUGUUAGCAUUAACA